RNAcentral lists this ribosomal RNA (269 nucleotides) under uncultured Planctomycetales bacterium. RNAcentral's name for it is "partial 16S ribosomal RNA". It matches the Rfam family "Bacterial small subunit ribosomal RNA", at positions 565 to 832 of the family's 1533-position model. The record is from RNAcentral. Lineage: Bacteria; Pseudomonadati; Planctomycetota; Planctomycetia; Planctomycetales.
GAGCACGUAGGUGGGUUUGUAAGUCAGAUGUGAAAGCCUUCUGUUCAACGGAAGAGUUGCAUCUGAAACUGCGAGUCUUGAGUGUAGGAGGGGAGAAUGGAACUUCUGGUGGAGCGGUGAAAUGCGUAGAUAUCAGAAGGAACGCCGGCGGCGAAAGCGAUUCUCUGGCCUAUUACUGACACUCAGUGUGCGAAAGCUAGGGGAGCAAACGGGAUUAGAUACCCCGGUAGUCCUAGCCGUAAACGAUGGGCACUAAGUAGAGGGGUUUU